Molecule: ribosomal RNA, 463 nt
Filed under: uncultured Methanomicrobiales archaeon
Lineage: Archaea; Methanobacteriati; Methanobacteriota; Methanomicrobia; Methanomicrobiales
Description: bacterial SSU rRNA
Rfam family: Archaeal small subunit ribosomal RNA
Source: RNAcentral
GCACCACAACAGGUGGAGCCUGCGGUUUAAUCGGACUCAACGCCGGGAAACUCACCAGAUAAGACAGCUGAAUGAUAGUCGGGCUGAAGACUCUACUUGACUAGCUGAGAGGAGGUGCAUAGCCGUCGUCAGUUCGUACUGUGAAGCAUCCUGUUAAGUCAGGCAACGAGCGAGACCCACGCCAACAGUUGCCAGCUCGUCCUCCGGGAUGGUGGGGACACUGUUGGGACCGCCUCUGCUAAAGAGGAGGAAGGAAUGGGCAACGGUAGGUCAGCAUGCCCCGAAUUAUCUGGGCUACACGCGGGCUACAAUGGGUGGGACAAUGGGUAUCGACACCGAAAGGUGAAGGCAAUCUCCUAAACCCAUCCGUAGUUCGGAUUGUGGGCUGCAACUCGCCCACAUGAAGCUGGAAUCUGUAGUAAUCGUGUCUCAAAAUGGCACGGUGAAUAUGUCCCUGCUCCUU